UACGGGGGGAGCGAGCGUUGUUCGGAUUUACUGGGCGUAAAGGGCGCGUAGGCGGCGUGACAAGUCACUUGUGAAAUCUCCGGGCUUAACUCGGAACGGUCAAGUGAUACUGUCGUGCUAGAGUACAGAAGGGGCAACUGGAAUUCUCGGUGUAGCGGUGAAAUGCGUAGAUAUCGAGAGGAACACCUGCGGCGAAGGCGGGUUGCUGGGCUGAUACUGACGCUGAGGCGCGAAAGCCAGGGGAGCGAACGGG
This 253-nucleotide ribosomal RNA is filed under the name uncultured bacterium. RNAcentral's name for it is "partial 16S ribosomal RNA". It matches the Rfam family "Bacterial small subunit ribosomal RNA", at positions 524 to 776 of the family's 1533-position model. The record is from RNAcentral.